Molecule: transfer RNA, 85 nt
Filed under: Felis catus (domestic cat)
Lineage: Eukaryota; Metazoa; Chordata; Mammalia; Carnivora; Felidae
Rfam family: tRNA
About the family: Transfer RNA (tRNA) molecules are approximately 80 nucleotides in length.
Source: Rfam by way of RNAcentral
GCCUGGGUGGCUCAGUCAGUUAAGCAUCUGACUUCGGCUCAGGUCAGGAUCUCACAGUUUGUGAGUUCGAGCCCCACAUCAGGCU